This 88-nucleotide microRNA precursor is filed under the name Tetranychus urticae (two-spotted spider mite). RNAcentral describes it as "microRNA mir-184". It matches the Rfam family "mir-184 microRNA precursor family". Lineage: Eukaryota; Metazoa; Arthropoda; Arachnida; Trombidiformes; Tetranychidae. The record is from Rfam by way of RNAcentral.
GUUCCUUCAUCUCCUUAUCAUUUCCGCUGUCCAGACAGAUUAAUGUUAAAAUGACCUGGACGGAGAACUGAUAAGGGCAAGCAGGGAC